RNAcentral lists this transfer RNA (61 nucleotides) under Anobiinae sp. GENSP01. RNAcentral's name for it is "tRNA-Arg". The record is from RNAcentral. Lineage: Eukaryota; Metazoa; Arthropoda; Insecta; Coleoptera; Ptinidae.
UAAUAAGAAGCAAUAAAUUGCAGUUAGUUUCGACCUAACCUUUAGGCUUAGCCCUUAUUUU